Molecule: ribosomal RNA, 535 nt
Filed under: uncultured bacterium
Lineage: Bacteria
Description: bacterial SSU rRNA
Rfam family: Bacterial small subunit ribosomal RNA
Source: RNAcentral
AAUAGAUACCCUGGUAGUCCACGCCGUAAACGGUGGGCACUAGGUGUGGGCGACAUUCCACGUCGUCCGUGCCGCAGCUAACGCAUUAAGUGCCCCGCCUGGGGAGUACGGCCGCAAGGCUAAAACUCAAAGGAAUUGACGGGGGCCCGCACAAGCGGCGGAGCAUGUGGCUUAAUUCGACGCAACGCGAAGAACCUUACCAAGGCUUGACAUACACCGGAAACGUCCAGAGAUGGGCGCCCCCUUGUGGUCGGUGUACAGGUGGUGCAUGGCUGUCGUCAGCUCGUGUCGUGAGGUGCUGGGUUAAGUCCCGCAACGAGCGCAACCCUUGUCCCGUGUUGCCAGCAGGCCCUUGUGGUGCUGGGGACUCACGGGAGACCGCCGGGGUCAACUCGGAGGAAGGUGGGGACGACGUCAAGUCAUCAUGCCCCUUAUGUCUUGGGCUGCACACGUGCUACAAUGGCCGGUACAAUGAGCUGCGAUACCGCGAGGUGGAGCGAAUCUCAAAAAGCCGGUCUCAGUUCGGAGUUGGGGU